Molecule: long non-coding RNA, 667 nt
Filed under: Coturnix japonica (Japanese quail)
Lineage: Eukaryota; Metazoa; Chordata; Aves; Galliformes; Phasianidae
Description: lncRNA (ENSCJPG00005000530.1)
Source: RNAcentral
GUGAGAAAGCACUUGGCACAGGAUGUAUAGCUCUUCUGACAAGCAUACUGGUACUUACAUUUCUCAUGCUACCCACCCAUUGCUCAGUGUUCAGCUUUCAUCCUGCCCAGCUCUGUGAUUAUCACUCCUUCACAGCCCGUUCCUGUGUUCAGUGACCCCACUGGACUUGGAAGAAAAGUGGAAGGAAUGUACACAGUGGAACUCUAAAAAGGAGGUUCUGUUUGGCUCCCCACUUGAGGAUGCAUUUGAAGACAAAAGACAUAUAUGGCAUGAGAUAACUCUGGGAGCUACAUGCAGAUGGAAGCCACUCAGAAGAGCUGUGUGUGAUUUUGUGGCCCUGCCUCCAUACUUAUCUCUGCAGUAAAAUUAAAUCCAUGGGCUGGCAUGUUUCUGAAGCAGACUGGAACACCACAGGGGAAAAAAGUAUGAAAAAAAUAAUUUGCCUUUGUAUGAUGAAAAGUUGAUUUGAGGCUAUUUAAGUCUAACCAGCAAGCAACUAUGACAGGUAAGAUUAGCAAACAUUUACGGGUAGACAAGAUGAAAAACAAGAUGUGCAUUUCUGUAACUUAAUGGUAUGCUUAGGUAUCAGCCAAAAGCCUCAACAAAGCCUCAAUUCACAGUAAAAUAAUUUUAAUAAAGCUAUUUAUUCUAGCCUUUGGAAUUUACA